CUACGGGUGGCAGCAGUGGGGAAUAUUGCACAAUGGAGGAAACUCUGAUGCAGCAACGCCGCGUGGAGGAUGACACUUUUCGGAGCGUAAACUCCUUUUAUAUAGGAAGAAGAUGACGGUACUAUAUGAAUAAGCGCCGGCUAACUCCGUGCCAGCAGCCGCGGUAAUACGGAGGGCGCAAGCGUUACUCGGAAUCACUGGGCGUAAAGAGCGUGUAGGCGGAUUAAAAAGUCAGAAGUGAAAUCCUAUAGCUUAACUAUAGAACUGCUUCUGAAACUCUUAAUCUAGAAUAUGGGAGAGGUAGAUGGAAUUUCUGGUGUAGGGGUAAAAUCCGUAGAGAUCAGAAGGAAUACCGAUUGCGAAGGCGAUCUACUAGAACAUUAUUGACGCUGAGACGCGAAAGCGUGGGGAGCAAACAGGAUUAGACCCCAGUAGUC
RNAcentral lists this ribosomal RNA (437 nucleotides) under uncultured bacterium. RNAcentral describes it as "partial 16S ribosomal RNA". It matches the Rfam family "Bacterial small subunit ribosomal RNA", at positions 339 to 795 of the family's 1533-position model. The record is from RNAcentral.